This 468-nucleotide ribosomal RNA is filed under the name uncultured bacterium. RNAcentral describes it as "partial 16S ribosomal RNA". It matches the Rfam family "Bacterial small subunit ribosomal RNA", at positions 28 to 508 of the family's 1533-position model. The record is from RNAcentral.
GAUGAACGCUGACAGAAUGCUUAACACAUGCAAGUCAACUUGAAUUUGGGUUUUUAACUUAGGUUUGGGUGGCGGACGGGUGAGUAACGCGUAAAGAACUUGCCUCACAGCUAGGGACAACAUUUGGAAACGAAUGCUAAUACCUAAUAUUAUGAUAAUAGGGCAUCCUAUAAUUAUGAAAGCUAUAAGCGCUGUGAGAGAGCUUUGCGUCCCAUUAGCUAGUUGGAGAGGUAACGGCUCACCAAGGCGAUGAUGGGUAGCCGGCCUGAGAGGGUGAUCGGCCACAAGGGGACUGAGACACGGCCCUUACUCCUACGGGAGGCAGCAGUGGGGAAUAUUGGACAAUGGACCGAGAGUCUGAUCCAGCAAUUCUGUGUGCACGAUGAAGUUUUUCGGAAUGUAAAGUGCUUUCAGUUGGGAAGAAACAAAUGACGGUACCAACAGAAGAAGUGACGGCUAAAUACGUGC